This 200-nucleotide unclassified non-coding RNA is filed under the name Chaetothyriales sp. RNAcentral describes it as "partial internal transcribed spacer 2". Lineage: Eukaryota; Fungi; Ascomycota; Eurotiomycetes; Chaetothyriales. The record is from RNAcentral.
UUAAGUUCAGCGGGUAUUCCUACCUGAUCCGAGGUCAACCUUGGUGAAAAACACGUGGUUAAGACGGGAGCGGCCGGCCACAUAAAUGCGUGCUUGGAAAGCUCGUUGCAUCUAGGGUCCCACACGACUCCGUCAAUAUCUUUGGGACCUGUCUGUCAGACACGGUCCAACGGCAAGCCAGGGCUUGAGGGUUGAUAAUG